RNA transcript from Zeugodacus cucurbitae (melon fly), 3454 nucleotides. It is a transcript of the gene named neural cell adhesion molecule 2, with no coding region annotated. The transcript has 17 exons. The record is from RefSeq and is a predicted model, not a curated record. NCBI's taxonomy places the organism in Eukaryota, Metazoa, Arthropoda, Insecta, Diptera, Tephritidae.
AAUGUAAAAUUAUAUUAGUGAGUGCGACUUGAAAACCGCCCUAUUUUCGAUACUGAAACUGUUAUAAUAUCUCAGUAGUUAUUUUAAACUUAAAAAUAUCAAAUAUUUGUGCGAAAUAAUUUCUAGCUAAUAGGCACUAAAUAAUUCGUAUCCUUAUUUUGCAAGUGUGUAAAAAUACCGAAUACGUUUACUAUAAGAGACUGUAAUCACUGCGAAUUCCUGGUAGCAACAACUAGGUUAAUAUAUGGUAUUCCUCGCUCUGUAAUAUGUAGCGGUGUGCUGAACAACACAUUAUUUUGUUUGAAAUGAUAUAAAAUAUUAAAAUCGGUUGAUACUAAUUGUUUAACUUGAGUUCAAAAAGAGUAGACAUACAUUAAGACACAAUGCUGGAAAAAAUAAUUACAUACAGUGCAGUUCCGACGCAACAUUAUUGUGUGCUAACCUAACUAAUUUGUUUUGUUUAUGUUGUACUUAUAAAUACAAAUAAUUUAUGUUUAAUAGUGUCUAAUGAAAUUAUAAAAUUAAAAUAUAUUUCCUGAGCAAUUUGUUAUAAUGAAAAAUUUGCUGCUGCUUUUUAUAUACUUAAUUAAAUUGCUGGUUGCAACGCAAGGAAACAAAGACGUACCGUUUUAUCAAAUAGAAGCCCUUAUCGGUGAAACAAUACACUUGCCAUGCAAUGCGACUGCUAAAUCUGGUGAUGAAGCCGUUCUAAUACUUUGGUAUCGUGAGGAUAAGGGGACUCCCAUCUACAGUGUUGACAUACGAUCUGGAAUAACUAAAACCGCAAGAAGGUGGUCAGAUGAAAGCAUAUUUGGCAACCGAGCUUAUUUUUUAUUUGAGGGUAAUCCAUGGGAACUAACUAUUCGGAAUAGCCAAAUCUCAGACACUGGAGUGUACAGAUGUCGGGUUGAUUUCAUGAAGGCACAAACCUACAAUAGUAAAAUUGUAUUAAUAAUAAUUGCAUUGCCUAAAGAAAUCAUUAUAAGAGAUGAACAAGGUUUUCAACGUUCAACGGUGGCUGGACCAUACAAUGUAGGCGAUUACGUGAUACUAAAAUGUGAAGCUAUUGGAGGUAAUCCAACUCCGGAAUUAGCUUGGUUUUUUGAAGACAUUAAUUUAGAAUACGAAAUGGCUACUGAUAUUCAAAACAAGUCUAUCCAAAGUGUCAUUAAAUUUGGACCUUUAAGAAGGGAGCACCUUAAUGGACGGCUUACUUGUCAAGCCCGUAAUCACCUAAAAGCAGCACUUGUUCAGGCUAUUGUACAAAUUGAUAUGAACUUUCCUCCACUGAGUAUCCGUUUACUCGGUGCGCACCAACCUCUUUCUGCGGGGCGCCGUUAUGAUCUGUUAUGUCAAAGUGCUGGAGGGAGACCACCCGCAGUUAUAACAUGGUGGCAAAAUGAAAUACGUUUGGAAAAAACUACCGAAACCAUAUCAAGCGAUGGAAACCAAACUACGAGCACAUUAUCAAUUAUUUUUGAGAAAUCUGAUUCUGGAAAAUACCUUUCAUGUAAAGCCUAUAAUCUAGCUAAACCAGUAAUGCCAUUAGUAGAUGGCUGGAUUCUAGAUAUACAAUAUAUACCGGAGGUUCAAAUACGUCUUGGAACAUCUUUAAAGCAAAAUACAAUUAGAGAAGGGGCAGAUGUUUAUUUUGACUGUGUGAUAAAUGCACAUCCUCCUGUAUACCGAGUAGAUUGGCGUCACAACGGUCACAUAUUGCCAAGUAAUAUAUCUCAAGGUGUUAUCAUUAGUAAUCAUUCAUUGGUACUACAGGGCGUUAAUAAAGCAAGUGGUGGUAACUUUUCGUGCAUCGGAUAUAAUACAGAAGGAGAAGGACAAAGCCCUUCUUUCAGCCUGGAUAUUUUAUACGCACCGAUCUGUUUAUCAAACCAAUUAAAGGUAUAUGGAAUUGCAAAGCAUGAAAAUGUGAAUGUGACAUGUAGUGUAGAUGCGAAUCCCCCUAUAGUGGAUUUUAACUGGAUUUUCAAUAACUCCAUUGAGAGUAUAGAUGUCGCUACGAAUCAUAUUUCAAAAACAGGAUUAAUAUCUUCCGUAGAAUAUACCCCACUGACAGAAUUAGAUUAUGGAACUCUACUUUGUACUGCCGCAAACAGUAUAGGCCGUCAACUAUCUCCUUGCAUGUUUCACAUUAUCCCAGCAGGGCGACCCGAUCAAGUUCACAACUGCAGUUUCAUAAACAUCACCGUUUCGUCGGUAAUUAUAUCGUGCGUUGAAGGAUUUAAUGGGGGACUCCCUCAACUAUUUAUCAUGGAAGUUAGAAACAUGUACUCCAAGGAACUGUAUGUUAAUAAAACAUCAUCUCAACCUAGAUUCACUCUCACAACUCUAAUUCCCGGAAAUCCAUAUAUUUUAUCCAUUUAUGCAUCUAAUUUGAAAGGGCGGUCAGAUGCAACGAUUUUAAAUAUAGACGUGAUUAAAACUGUAGAUACCAGAUUAAAUGCAGGACAAGUUCUAAAUCAUCGCGCCGAAUUUGUUUUCUCACCAUUUCUAUCACUUAGCGUGGGAUUAAGCAUUGCAAUUUGCAUAGCAAUUUUGGCAAUAAUUUUUUCUCUUCGUACAACAUGCAAAAAUUCAAGCCAAAUAAUAAAGGAGUUUUCUCACGAGCACAACUUAUGGGAGGUUUCGAGUCGCAGCUCAGGAAGUAAAGAAAUGGACUUAAAUGAAAGUGAUGAAAGAAACCCUGAUGUUAUCCCUGAGCUACUCGAAAUCGAAAAACAGGAAUAUACUGAAAGGAUGAUGCAACAAGUAGCAACUAUUGGGUCUAAUAUUACUAAUCAAUUUUCAAAGCAACCUGAAGUUAUAUCACAUCUAUCGCUCACUUUAAGAAGGGACCUUCCGAUACGAGCCUACUUGGGGAAUGGGCCAUAUGUAGAAGUUCACGUAAGUGAGAAAAGUUUUUGACUGCCAUUCAUUUGGGAGUAGCCAGGAAGGACACUUUUUCAUAUGGCUCAAGCAACUAACGACUUGCGGUUUUAGACCAAGUAUCCUCUGGGUAGCCAACAAAAGUCCUUGUGGAGGCAAGCUAAAGUAAGGAGACGAAGCCCGCGUCCGCGGUUUUGUGGAGGGUUUGGGACCCACCACUUAAAAAUCCUGUCCUAAUGGAACAUGAAGUACAUGCACCUGGAAUGACCGGGCCCAUAAUUGGGAAGGUACCUCUGUCCAGCUGUUUGAUGUUCCAAUACGACUAAAGGCAGAAAUGCCAUCUAAGAAGCGGUCAUAAUAAAGGGCGCAAAUUUAGUGUUGGAUUGGUGGAUAUAAUAAUAUUAAAUAUAAAUCUUCAACACAGAUAUUUAUAAUCCAUCACAAAAUGCGUACUUAAGCAGCAAUGUUAAUCAAUCCAGUUUGCCAAAACACAUAAAAAACCAAAUGUUUUCUGGAUAUAAUUCAUUAGUCAUCGGAAUGAACACCAAGCAAUCUCAUGUAUCAAUGCAGC